This 484-nucleotide ribosomal RNA is filed under the name uncultured bacterium. RNAcentral describes it as "partial 16S ribosomal RNA". It matches the Rfam family "Bacterial small subunit ribosomal RNA", at positions 30 to 507 of the family's 1533-position model. The record is from RNAcentral.
AUUGAACGCUGGCGGCAGGCCUAACACAUGCAAGUCGAGCGGAUGAAGGGAGCUUGCUCCUGGAUUCAGCGGCGGACGGGUAAGUAAUGCCUAGGAAUCUGCCUGGUAGUGGGGGAUAACGUCCGGAAACGGGCGCUAAUACCGCAUACGUCCUGAGGGAGAAAGUGGGGGAUCUUCGGACCUCACGCUAUCAGAUGAGCCUAGGUCGGAUUAGCUAGUUGGUGGGGUAAAGGCCUACCAAGGCGACGAUCCGUAACUGGUCUGAGAGGAUGAUCAGUCACACUGGAACUGAGACACGGUCCGGACUCCUACGGGAGGCAGCAGUGGGGAAUAUUGGACAAUGGGCGAAAGCCUGAUCCAGCCAUGCCGCGUGUGUGAAGAAGGUCUUCGGAUUGUAAAGCACUUUAAGUUGGGAGGAAGGGCAGUAAGUUAAUACCUUGCUGUUUUGACGUUACCAACAGAAUAAGCACCGGCUAACUUCGUG